RNAcentral lists this ribosomal RNA (253 nucleotides) under uncultured bacterium. Its description in RNAcentral is "partial 16S ribosomal RNA". It matches the Rfam family "Bacterial small subunit ribosomal RNA", at positions 524 to 776 of the family's 1533-position model. The record is from RNAcentral.
UACGUAGGGUGCGAGCGUUGUCCGGAAUUAUUGGGCGUAAAGAGCUCGUAGGCGGCUUGUUGCGUCGGCUGUGAAAUCCCGAGGCUCAACCUCGGGUCUGCAGUCGAUACGAGCAAACUAGAGUGUUGCAGGGGAGACUGGAAUUCCUGGUGUAGCGGUGAAAUGCGCAGAUAUCAGGAGGAACACCGGUGGCGAAGGCGGGUCUCUGGGCCGAUACUGACGCUGAGGAGCGAAAGCGUGGGGAGCGAACAGG